This is a long non-coding RNA of Vicia villosa (hairy vetch), 4778 nucleotides long. RefSeq lists it as uncharacterized. The transcript has 7 exons. NCBI's taxonomy places the organism in Eukaryota, Viridiplantae, Streptophyta, Magnoliopsida, Fabales, Fabaceae. The record is from RefSeq and is a predicted model, not a curated record.
CAAUAUUAAGGUUUUACUCUAUUCUGAUUUCCAUCAAAUCAAUUUUUGCAUUUCAAGGAAAAUCAAAUAGAGAUAACCUAAACACCCAUCAUCGGACUGCUCCCAGCCACCAGCCAGCGUUUCCGGCCGGGAGUCUGACGUGACCUCCAUCUAUUCCGACGAAGCUUUCGACGAUGCUCCGACUCCAUCCUGCAGCCACCGCAAUCGCUUCCGAUUCCGACGCAGGCAGCCUCAAACGCGGCCAUGAGAUUCUUCAUAACAUGUUUCUGUUGCACAAGUCGUAGCGGCUAUGAGAUUCUUCAUAAUCUCUUUAUGUUUCAACACCUAAUUGGAAGCGUUUGUGGAGCAGUUUUGGUGAUGACCCCGACGUUAAACAAGGCAAACCAUCACCGGAUGUGUUUCUUGUUGCGGCGAAGAGAUUUGAGAGGAAUAACAAAGUGUUUCGAAGCGAGGAAAUACAAAUGGAGAAACUGUUUGAAGAGUCGAAGAUUAUGGCGUGGAGAUGGCUCAAACUUAAAUCAAAUUAUAUUGCAGAUGAUAUAGCCGCGUGGUGCAAAAAUCCUAAGGCGUGUAUUGGCAUAAUUGACGGAUGAGUAAUCUGGUGCGUACAGAGCUGGAGUGGUCCCCGUCAUCGGGCGUCGAAUUCUGAUUUGCAGCCGUACGUCUUUCUUAAAUAGACUGAAUUCUGUCAAGAUAGAUUUUUUCAGCAGACUAAAUUCUGUCAAGAUAGAUUUUUUCAGCAGACUGAAUUCUGUCAAGACAGCUCUUGGCGCAUGGUAGUGGUAACCGACAUAACGCAUUGCUUGGCUCCAGUUGGCGAGGUAGUUCCUGGUUAUGUCUAUUCGAGUGGUUGAGGUGUUCUUAUGUUUUUGUUCUGUACAUUUGGUGGUGAAGCUAUUUCUAUUGUCUGCUGUUUUUAUGUUGUGGAGCGCAGUGGCUGUGCAUAGGGUGCUGUUGUGUGUUAUAUGUCCAGGAGUUAAUAUGUUAUUCGAGGUUAUUGUUAUCGUAGUAUCGGUGUCGGGUAGUUAUAGGUUAAUUUUGUUUCAUGUAUCUCCUUCAAUAUUCAGUCUGUGGGUGGAUAUUGCUGUUAGCAUCAGUUUUAGUUUCAGGUUGAUGGGCAUAGUCUUGUAAAAUCUGGUAUAGGAGAGUGGGAUUCAUACUGUCAUGAACAUUUGUGCUAGGGCCAUUGCUUGUAAUUGGCAUCUCUUAUGCCUCUGUCUUUUUAAUAUAUUGCUUUUGCUCUUUCAAAAAAAAAAUCAUAUAUGCAAUGGUUUUCAGUUAACUAUACAUUGAUGAUCAACAGGGUGGACCAGUAGAUCCAAGUAACAUACUUGUUUUUGAAGAUGCACCCUCUGGAUUUCUUGCAGCUAAGAAUGCUGGGAUGUAUGUGACUUGAAGCAGCUUGUUUUAUUUUUUACGUGUUCACUAGGCUCUAACCGUUCUCUUUCCCUCUCGCGUAUAAUAAUAUCUGUCACCUACAGUAUGAGACAUGAAGAAUUCUGAAAUAUGAAUAUUAGAACAUUUUUCUGCUUCUUUUAGAACAGUUGUUUUAUGGUUGUGGAGCUAAGGACUGCACAAAAGCUUUUUCAUGCUGCUGAAUUUGUGUACAAACAUCUGAAGCUGAAACACCCAUCGCUUGCUGUUGAACAAACUUCAAAAUUGCGCAACGAUCUCUAUACUCAAAAUUUCAUGAAAUCCAUAUGCUUCUGGUGGAAAGCCUGUUAUGCUGCAAUCUCAAGUGAACUACUAUACCCAUUGCUUGCCGUAAGUAUGAGAACAAUUUGUUGUUAGAAACUCACCCAUCUCAUAUGAUAGAGUCGAUGUUGGCCAUGGAUAACAUGAACUAACCAAUGUUUACAUUUCAGAUGCAAUUUUGUAUUACAUUUAUCAAACAUAUGAUUUGCAGGAUGUGGUAGAUGUUAUAUAAAAUAUAUCCAAGGAAAAUCAUCGUAAAACGAUUAGCAUACUUUCUAUGUCCGGUUGUGUAUCAAACAUUGUUGAUCUUACUCCGAACAAUCCCAAACACUGCAAGGGCAAAUUUGAGAUGCAUUUUAUGUCUAUAAAAUGUCUCUCUGAUGAUGAUGGUCGUCAAUGUCGUGAAAAGGCAACGUGUAUCGUUACAUGCUGAGAUGAAAAGGAAAUUCUAUUAGCAAAUACUUCUGUCAUAGUGGCUGGCUAUGUUAAAAUUAACUGCAACCUUAUUCAACACAGACACCGAUAUUAACAGGUGCAAGAAUUUCAGCAUUUGCUGCUGUUGCGACUCGAAAUGAUGACAAAAGUCCCAUAGAAGCCAUCCUUCUUAAACUUAAUCAGUGGGAGAUGGGAACAUAGUAAAAUCCCACAUCAGCAACUAGUCUAGUGCUUCAAAUGCGCAGGACUUGAAGUCUCCUUCUGUAGUUGACAAUUGUUUGGUCAUGAAGUCUCCUUCUGCUGGGGACAUUUGAAAUUAAGUUUCUAAUCUUCUAUAAAACUGAAAAGUUCUUGUUUAAUUCUGGUGACGAGAUUGUGUGUACACUCGGGAAAUGAUAUUCCAUAAACAUUAUUGUUUCCUCUUCUUUUCAGUUGAGUUUUUUAAGAAUGGAUGAUUAGAAAUUUAAUUGUCAUGCCAUGAUACUCUUUCCUGUCAUUUGUAGAUAAAUUUAUUGUCUUAAAAAUCUCUCUCCUGUCAUUUUUAUAAGCAUUUUAAGUUAUAAUGUCUUGCAUCCAUAGCAUAUAUCAAUGACUUAAACUCUUCUAGGAACUUUGUAUUCUUGACAUUCUCAAUAGCAUUUUGGUGUAAAUGCCAUAAACAGAGGCGAUGUGACGCAUUUGGAAAUUCAUCUUUAAUAGCUUCCCGCAUUGCACCAUCUCCGUCAGUAACAAAUACAUUUGGACAUUUAUGGAACAUUGCUUCAAAAAAGGCAUUUAAAACCCACUUAUAUGUCUCUGUCUUUUCGUCUGAAAUUAAAGCACACCCAAAAAUUGUAGUUUCACCGUGAUGAUUGUACCCACAAAAAAUAACAAAGGGUUUGUUGUACCUGUUCUUUUUGUAGGUCGUGUCAAAUGCAACCACAUCACCAAAACAUUCAAAGUCAAAUCGGCUAGUUCCAUCUGACCAAAAUAAAUUUUGUAGACGACCAUCCUCUGUUGUGGUAAACUUCGAAAAAAACAUCGGAUCAUUGUCGGCUUUAGCCUGUAAAUAAGACAAUGCAGCAAAAGCAUCUCCAUUUUCUCUUUUAGUCUUGGCUCCAUUACUAAAAUAAUUAUAUAAGUCCUUCUUGAUAAAUCCCAAAUCUUCAUGACCACCUUUCUGACCCAACAUAAAACCCAAAAUAUGACAUGUUCUAACACCACAUGUAUGCAAGCCAUCAACAAGCGCUUUAUCAGCUUCACUCAGUCGACGAUACUUAGGAAUAAAAUGAACAAACCGCUGUGGAGUUAACUUAUGAUUAUGAGCGGAUUCAAAUGCAACAACUCUCCAACUUUUAGUCACUACAUCAUAUGCCACACGCAACCAAGCAAGACAACCUGUUCGAGUGAUUGGCCUUGGCCCCCUAUGUCGAUCCACCCUUAACAUAUGUUUCUUAUGUCUUUUCCCCUCUCUAUUACAAACUAAUUGGCGCAUAAUAAUAUUUUUUUUGAAAUCACGGUCAAUCUCAUCUCUUCUUACAGCAAACCCAUGAUAUUCUGCAUAUGUUUCAUAAAACUCACAAGCUUUUUUCUCUGCUUCAAAUUUCAUAUCUCUUAUAUCAUCAUCUGAGAUUUCACCUAUAUCUUUGUAAUCAUCCAAAUCCUCUUUUCCUUCUUCAUUAUCCACAUAACUACCAUUGUUCCUCCCGACAUCAUUAGCAUCUUCACCAUUCUCCAUGCUUGCUACACAAUUUAUAAUCUUUAUGAAUUGAAUGUCUACUUUACAAUCGUUACUCCUACCGCAUUUAUUGUCUGCACCACAUGAAAAAGUAACAACCUUAAGUGUUGGUACGCCAAAAGAAAUCACGAAACCAAAACAAACAAAAAGCAAAGUGCAUAGAAUAUAAAAACAGAUGAGUAGCAGGUGUGAAGAAAAAAUGAUAAAUGAAUCAUUUGUUUUCAAGUUCUGACCUUGAUAAUUCCUUGCUUUCUUAUAGUGUUUUAAUGCAAGAUCACAAAGGAAUGAAUAUAAAGUAACACUAACAAACCUAUCACCAAACCAACAACAAUGCAAUACAUAUAUGAGACAACCAUGGAUAUUUGGGAUUUCGUUUUUUAAGAUUUGAUUCAGUUUAAGAUUUAAUCCCUUUUAAAAAGAUAUGGUUUGAGAUUGAUCACAUGACUCGUUUAUUUUUAAGAUUUCGUCGCUUGCUCUUUUUUGUGCUAAACAGUCUAAGUUACAACAUGCUGUAUACGUGGAGGAUUAUGAAGAAGCUUCUAGGCUUCAAGUGGCGAUUGCAGCUGCAUCCAACAAUGACAGUGUUGGAAAGUGAUAUCUCUUCUCAAAAGAGCCAUGCGAGAAGAGCGGUACAGUGAUGCAGCUUUAUUGGUUUAAUGCCAUAAUACUACAUAUUGUACUCAAAAUUUAAUAUUUAUCAGAAUACUACAUAUUUCACAUGGAUUUAUUCUUGCCAUCCAAAUUCGACUGAGUGAACUCAGUUAUAACCGAAAAAUAACAACCCAUCCACCCGACAACUCAAAUCGACGCGUACGCAUGCCUACAAUUGCACUCGGUUUUGACGGUUUUGGAUGGGCUCGGUUCCUUUGUCCAGCCCUAUCUAGUUACACCUAACACUAACACAUAUUCGAACAUUAAUUUCAUAACUGAG